GACGAACGCUGGCGGCGUGCUUAACACAUGCAAGUCGAACGGUGAAGCGCCUUCCUUUUUGGUGGGUGUGGAUGAGUGGCGAACGGGUGAGUAACACGUGAGUAACCUGCCCCCUUCUUCUGGAUAACCGCAUGAAAGUGUGGCUAAUACGGGAUAUUCUGGGUCUGUCGCAUGAUGGGUGUGGGAAGGAUAUUGUUUCGGUGGGGGAUGGGUCCGCGGCGUAUCAGCUUGUUGGUGGGGUGAUGGCCUACCAAGGCGGUGAGGGGUAGCCGGCCUGAGAGGGUGGGCGGCAACGCAGGGGCUGAACGGCGCACCAGCCUCCUACGGGAGGCAGCAGGGAGGAUUCUGCCACGAGGGGAGGCAUCCUGGUGCAGCGACGCGGCGGUGGGGAUGGAGGCCUUAGGGUUGUAAACUUCUUUCGCCAGUGAAGCAGUCUGUCAGUGUUUGUGCGUGGCUUGACGGUAGCUGGUUAGAAAGCCCCGGCUAACUACGUG
Molecule: ribosomal RNA, 494 nt
Filed under: uncultured bacterium
Lineage: Bacteria
Description: partial 16S ribosomal RNA
Rfam family: Bacterial small subunit ribosomal RNA
Source: RNAcentral